Molecule: ribosomal RNA, 492 nt
Filed under: uncultured bacterium
Lineage: Bacteria
Description: partial 16S ribosomal RNA
Rfam family: Bacterial small subunit ribosomal RNA
Source: RNAcentral
AGUGAACGCUGGCGGUAGGCCUAACACAUGCAAGUCGAACGGCAGCACAGUAAGAGCUUGCUCUUACGGGUGGCGAGUGGCGGACGGGUGAGGAAUACAUCGGAAUCUACUUUUUCGUGGGGGAUAACGUAGGGUAACUUACGCUAAUACCGCAUACGACCUACGGGUGAAAGCAGGGGAUCUUCGGACCUUGCGCGAUUGAAUGAGCCGAUGUCGGAUUAGCUAGUUGGCGGGGUAAAGGCCCACCAAGGCGACGAUCCGUAGCUGGUCUGAGAGGAUGAGCAGCCACACUGGAACUGAGACACGGUCCAGACUCCUACGGGAGGCAGCAGUGGGGAAUAUUGGACAAUGGGCGCAAGCCUGAUCCAGCCAUACCGCGUGGGUGAAGAAGGCCUUCGGGUUGUAGAGCCCUUUUGUUGGGAAAGAAAAGCAGCAGGUUAAUACCCCGCUGUUCUGACGGUACCCAAAGAAUAAGCACCGGCUAACUUCGUG